Molecule: ribosomal RNA, 468 nt
Filed under: uncultured bacterium
Lineage: Bacteria
Description: partial 16S ribosomal RNA
Rfam family: Bacterial small subunit ribosomal RNA
Source: RNAcentral
GACGAACGCUGGCGGCGUGCUUAACACAUGCAAGUCGAACGGAAAGGCCCUGCUUUUGUGGGGUGCUCGAGUGGCGAACGGGUGAGUAACACGUGAGUAACCUGCCCUUGACUUUGGGAUAACUUCGGGAAACUGGGGCUAAUACCGGAUAGGAGCUCCUGCUGCAUGGUGGGGGUUGGAAAGUUUCGGCGGUUGGGGAUGGACUCGCGGCUUAUCAGCUUGUUGGUGGGGUAGUGGCUUACCAAGGCUUUGACGGGUAGCCGGCCUGAGAGGGUGACCGGCCACAUGGGGACUGAGAUACGGCCCAGACUCCUACGGGAGGCAGCAGUGGGGAAUAUUGCACAAUGGGCGGAAGCCUGAUGCAGCAACGCCGCGUGCGGGAUGACGGCCUUCGGGUUGUAAACCGCUUUCGCCUGUGACGAAGCGUGAGUGACGGUAAUGGGUAAAGAAGCACCGGCUAACUACGUG